Molecule: ribosomal RNA, 1970 nt
Filed under: Taishania pollutisoli
Lineage: Bacteria; Pseudomonadati; Bacteroidota; Flavobacteriia; Flavobacteriales; Crocinitomicaceae
Description: Crocinitomicaceae bacterium CZZ-1 partial 23S ribosomal RNA
Rfam family: Bacterial large subunit ribosomal RNA
Source: RNAcentral
AUAAGUUAAUAAGGGCACACGGGGGAUGCCUUGGCUUCGAGAGGCGAAGAAGGACGUGAUAAGCUGCGAUAAGCUGCGGGUAUUGGCAAAUACGAAUUGAUCCGCAGAUUUCCGAAUGGGGAAACCCGGCACAUUGAAGAUGUGUCACUCGAAAGAGAGCAAACGCGCUGAACUGAAACAUCUAAGUAGGCGCAGGAAGAGAAAACAAAAGUGAUUUCCUGAGUAGUGGCGAGCGAAACGGAAACAGCCCAAACCGUCAUUGUUUCGGCAGUGGCGGGGUUGUAGGACUGCAAGAUUGACUAUACAGCUAUAGUUGAAGCAAUUGGAAAGUUGCACCGUAGAGGGUUAAAGUCCCGUAAACGAAAUAGUUGUAUUACAUAGCAGUAUCCUGAGUAGGGCGGGACAUGUGAAAUCCUGUCUGAAUCAGCCGGAACCAUCCGGUAAGGCUAAAUACUCCUCGAAGACCGAUAGUGAACGAGUACUGUGAAGGAAAGGUGAAAAGAACCCUGAACAAGGGAGUGAAAAAGACCCUGAAACCGUGUGUCUACAAGCGGUCGAAGCCUUUCGGGGCGACGGCGUGCCUUUUGCAUAAUGAUCCUACGAGUUACUCCUCAAUGGCCAGGUUAAGGAUUUCAGAUCCGGAGCCGAAGCGAAAGCGAGUCUUAACAGGGCGCUAAGUCAUUGGGGGUAGACGCGAAACCUUGUGAUCUACCCAUGGCCAGGUUGAAGUUUUGGUAACACAAAAUGGAGGACCGAACCGAUAAGCGUUGAAAAGCUUCCGGAUGAGCUGUGGGUAGGGGUGAAAGGCCAAUCAAACUGGGAAAUAGCUCGUACUCCCCGAAAUGCAUUUAGGUGCAGCGUUGUGGUAGAGUUUUAUAGAGGUAGAGCUACUGAUUGGACUAGGGGGCUUCACCGCCUACCGAAUCCUGACAAACUCCGAAUGCUAUAAAAUAUACACAGCAGUGAGGGCACGGGUGCUAAGGUCCGUGUCCGAGAGGGAAAGAACCCAGACCAUCGGCUAAGGUCCCCAAAUGUAUACUAAGUUGAAUAAACGUUGUGCGGUUGCAUAGACAGCUAGGAUGUUGGCUUGGAAGCAGCCAUUCAUUUAAAGAGUGCGUAACAGCUCACUAGUCGAGCGACCGUGCGUGGAUAAUAAUCGGGCAUUAAGUAUACUACCGAAGCUGUGGAUUAGUCGUAAGACUACUGGUAGGGGAGCAUUCCAGUCAGCGUUGAAGGUGCAUGGUGAUGUGUGCUGGAGCGGCUGGAAACGCAAAUGUAGGAAUGAGUAACGAUAAUGCAGGCGAGAAACCUGCACACCGAUAGACUAAGGUUUCCUUGGCGACGCUAAUCGUCCGAGGGUUAGUCGGGACCUAACGCAAACCCGAAAGGGGUAGUGGAUGGACAACGGGUUAAUAUUCCCGUACUUCUUAUAACUGCGAUGGGGUGACGGAGUGAUGAAAGGACCGCGAACUGACGGAAUAGUUCGUUGAAGGUUGUAGGUAUAGGACUGGUAGGCAAAUCCGCCGGUCCUGCCGAAUUCCGAUAGUACCAUAAAGCUUCGGCUGCGUGGAUAGUGUCCCUAAGGGCUUCCGAGAAAACCCUCUAAGCUUCAGGUUAUAAGAACCCGUACCGCAAACCGACACAGGUAGUCAAGGAGAGAAUCCUAAGGUGCUCGAGUGAUUCAUGGCUAAGGAACUAGGCAAAAUGGUCUCGUAACUUCGGGAGAAGAGACGCCUGCGCAAGCAGGCCGCAGUGAAUAGGCCCAGGCGACUGUUUAUCAAAAACACAUGGCUUUGCAAAAUCGUAAGAUGACGUAUAAGGCCUGACACCUGCCCGGUGCUGGAAGGUUAAGAGGAGAUGUUAGUUUCGGCGAAGCAUUGAAUUGAAGCCCCAGUAAACGGCGGCCGUAACUAUAACGGUCCUAAGGUAGCGAAAUUCCUUGUCGGGUAAGUUCCGACCUGCACGAAUGG